AGAGACUUAAGUGACUUGACUGCCUCAAUUGUAAAAUUAUGAACCGCAUGAUUUCGUAUUGUUUCGUCGUCUUACACAUCAAUUCGCGUAUUUUAGAGGCCGCUUCUUAGAAGAACCGCUUCAACUGUCAGCAAGAAGAUUUUAGUUGAUGUCCUACACGGAUUUCAAGUGUUUCUAAACGAUGCCACGUUCUGAAGCGAUUCUGUCUGUGUUACCCCUUAUCGGUAUCGUUAAUCUCUGUUUCUUCGCAAUGGCUCGUUACCCAGGCUGACUAUGCAUACGCCGGGUGCCCUCAAAGACUGUUUUAGGUACUUCCAAUCUCACUCAAGACAUGUGUCAAGUACCACAUGGUAACUUAGGAACAACUUCCAUCAGGCUAUUCGAGGUGUUUUCCUGAGACAGACCAUCUCGAGUACGUGUAUCCAAGGUCCAUAUUUGAGACAUCAAAUUUUGUUAAAGGAUGCCU
This 466-nucleotide long non-coding RNA is filed under the name Varroa destructor (honeybee mite). RNAcentral's name for it is "uncharacterized LOC111252267, transcript variant X1". The record is from RNAcentral. Lineage: Eukaryota; Metazoa; Arthropoda; Arachnida; Mesostigmata; Varroidae.